CUGGCUUGGAAAGAGCAUCUAUACUGUAAGUUUACACAGAUAACCUCUUUAUUUAAAAAUAUUCUUAUUAUUUGUAUUUUUAAAAAUAUUUAAGUCUUGAAUCCAUUUGGAAUUUAUUUCUGUAUAUAGUGUGAAGUAAAAUUUCAGCUAUUUUUUCUUUUGGAUGAAGAAUUUAUUAUGCCAGCACUAUUAAUUAUUAAAGUAACUAUUUUCUUUCUAAAUUGAAAUAUUACUUUGGUUAUUAUUGUCCUUUAUGUCUCUUGAAUCUCUUCCUAGGCUCUAGUGUUGUCCAUCAGUCCAUCCAGUUAUCUCUGUGCCAGUGGCAAAUUUCACUAGAUUACAGUGAAUUGGGGUCAUUUUACUAUGUGCCUCACCUCUCCAGGCCAGACCACCAACUGCAAGUCUUUUCUUGGCGGACUUACUGUCCUUUGCAACCAUCAGUCUAAAGUUCACUAUUUCAUCCUCUCCAGUCACACAGUUCUUUAAAGGAAGAAACAGAACAGGCUCCAUCUUGAAAGCAGGACUCCAGCUUGGGCUCAACUGUGGACUUGGAGCUCUAUGCCCAGUAUCUACGGAAACGACGUACCAACUGGAAAACCAGACCCCUGGAUGGAAGAACCCCAGGGCUUGUACCUAGACUCUCCAUCGCCUAAAAGAAUACCUUAAUUAUCUGUGUAACCGAAUAGAAUCAUGAAUUCUAUUAUGCUUAUUGGGGUAUGACCACAGGCCUAUUGGUAAUUGCCCACUGUUAACUACCUAGGCUUAAGGCAUACGAAUCACAGGUUAACUUUGAUUGUAUCUUUCUUUUCCUUUGUUCAGGCUAGUUUCAGAGAAUUUGGGGAGAUGGAUUUGAGCACGUACACUUAGGGUAUAUAAGGUUUUCACAAAAACUGCUUGGGGUCCUUGGCUAGG
This 912-nucleotide long non-coding RNA is filed under the name Bos indicus x Bos taurus (hybrid cattle). RNAcentral's name for it is "lncRNA (ENSBIXG00000001168.1)". The record is from RNAcentral. Lineage: Eukaryota; Metazoa; Chordata; Mammalia; Artiodactyla; Bovidae.